GCAGGUUACAUACACUCGGUCCAAAAAAAUGGUAUAAAUAUUAAAAAGUUUUUUUAACCCUGGCGGAAAAAAUUCUAUAAAAUUCUACACAAAUUUAAGACAUGCUACAAGAAUCAAAACUGCUAAAAUUGGAAUGAAAAAAUUAUCAUUUAUUUUGUCGUGAGAGAAAUGUAUUUAAUUAUUAAAAUUAACAAAAGUGUUCCAGUUCUAGUAUUGUUUAAAUUUGUCAUAAAAUUUUAUAGAAUGUAUUCCGCCAGGGAAUUCAAUAAUUUAAAAUAAUGAACAUAAUUUAAAGAAAAUAAUAUUUCAUAUUUUUAUAAAUGCGAAGUUAAGAGCGGAAUGCAUCGCGAGCGCGGUGUCAACCUUGCUGCGUGAAGUUAACCGCACGCGGAACGUAGCCGUUUCUCGCCGUCUUGACGUCAUUAUCGUUUCAGUUGCGGAACGCGGUGGACGCACGGCGCGGCGACGCGCGUAUUGGAACCAAAACGAGCGGCAUCGUAAUUUGUUUAACAGAACGCGGCAAAUGGACCGACUGCGGAACGAGUGGCGUCAUGACUCAUCCAAUUGCGCACGAGCUUUCUCGUUCCCGUUGCACCAGCGACUUCGUCAAUCAGCAUUUCUCGAUAACAA
Long non-coding RNA from Solenopsis invicta (red fire ant), 630 nucleotides. RefSeq lists it as uncharacterized. The record is from RefSeq and is a predicted model, not a curated record. The transcript has 3 exons. Lineage: Eukaryota; Metazoa; Arthropoda; Insecta; Hymenoptera; Formicidae.